GUUGACGUGGUUCGGUCAGGUAUUCGCCCGAUCCGGCCGGGCGCCGGAGUCAUGGUACCGGCGCGUUCGACCCGUGCCGCUACCUC
RNAcentral lists this transfer RNA (86 nucleotides) under Mesorhizobium sp. L-2-11. RNAcentral's name for it is "tRNA-Arg". The record is from RNAcentral. Lineage: Bacteria; Pseudomonadati; Pseudomonadota; Alphaproteobacteria; Hyphomicrobiales; Phyllobacteriaceae.